UACGUAGGGUCCGAGCGUUGUCCGGAGUUACUGGGCGUAAAGCGCGCGCAGGCGGCGGUGUUGGCCCGGCGUGAAAGCCCCCGGCUCAACCGGGGAGAGUCGUCGGGGACCGCACCGCUUGAGGGCGGUAGGGGCUGGUGGAAUGCCUGGUGUAGUGGUGAAAUGCGUAGAGAUCAGGCAGAACACCUGGGGCGAAGGCGGCCAGCUGGGCCGUCCCUGACGCUGAGGCGCGAAGGCGUGGGGAGCAAACAGG
Molecule: ribosomal RNA, 253 nt
Filed under: uncultured bacterium
Lineage: Bacteria
Description: partial 16S ribosomal RNA
Rfam family: Bacterial small subunit ribosomal RNA
Source: RNAcentral